UUUCCGUAGGUGAACCUGCGGAAGGAUCAUUAUCAAAAGUCAAGUCGGGGGCUGUAAAGCUCUCGUCUACACCCAUGUCUUUUGCGUACUCUUGUUUCCUCGGUGGCGCAAGCUGCCGAUUGGACAAACCAAAACCUCUUUUGUAAUUGCAAUCAGCGUCUGAAAAUAAUCUAAUUAUUUACAACUUUCAACAACGGAUCUCUUGGUUCUG
This 211-nucleotide unclassified non-coding RNA is filed under the name soil metagenome. RNAcentral's name for it is "partial contains small subunit ribosomal RNA, internal transcribed spacer 1, and 5.8S ribosomal RNA". The record is from RNAcentral.